UCUUAAAAUGCAUCCAGGCAUAAGAUCUCAAAGUAUCUUAUGUCUUAUGUAUCUUAUGCCUUGUGUCAAAAUUUCAUCUUCGUGCUUAAGUUUAAGUUCCGCUGUUGUCAGCGUGUAUGUACAAUAAUUAUUCACAGCUCAUUAUCAGGCGCAUCUGUAAUGAUGACACUGAGAGAUACUCCUGAGCGCUCGCAAAGUCACUGAAACUGGGCUUCGAGGGUUAAAAAAAAAACUGCAUUCCGAUAAAAUGUUUAGUUAUGUGUAUCGAAAAUGUGUCAGUGAACGUUAAGUGUGCGUUGAGUGUUGAAGUGGUGAAUGGAUCCUUCCAAGAUUUACCUAUCAUCAUGCGAUUUCGGGAUAUCCAUCUCUCCUGCAGGCUAAACAAGUUGUCAAGACACUUUUCGCAAAAAAAUGAAUUGUCAGAAUACACGGGCCAAUCAUGCAGAAAAACAGAGACCUGCAGUUUUUGAAACAAACGGGCAUAAAAAUAAAUGCAUUUUCGAGUGAAAGAAGUUUUCAUGAAUCUAAAUUAAUGUGAUUUUAGCAUCGAUGAAUUUCGUUAAUAAUUUUUUUUUUUUAAAAAACUCAUUUAAAUUGAAAAAUACUGUUUUAAUCAAAUAAUUAUACUUAGAUUAAUUAUAUUUUUGUCCGUGAAUGAAAAAUGAGCCUAAGACAUUUUCUUAAAGUUAAAGAAUUGUUUUUAAAUUUUUUAAAAAAAUAAUAAUUUAAACAUUAUUCUCAUGUGUACUUAUAACUUUGUGCUUUUUAGAGAUCACGUCAAAAUGAAGACACGCCUUCACGCUUGAAAGAUAAUGUGCGCUGAAAUAACGACGAAUAUUCAGCGAUUUUUUUAUAGCGACGAAAUAUUUAGCUAUGCUUCGGGAUUACCCGGUUACUUAAUUAAAUAAUAUGAAUAACGUAACAUUUACCAAUAGAGUAAGACCAAAUAGAAAAAACCGGACUCCUGCUGGCAAUCUCGUAUUAAUCAAAAUUAUAGAACAGACUAGAAAAAACUCCGCGACACUUCGCUAAUUUUCUACGAAUAUUAAUAAGGUCAAAUAUUCGUGUCUAAUAAUACGGCAAGUUAAGAGAGUAAUGGGGAGCCCAUUAUUAACCAAAAUGCAUAAGCUGACGCUGUUGCCAAACGGUUAGCAACUGUGACUGAUUUAAUUACUGUAUAUCUUGUUAAGUAAUAUCUUUCACUCCUUUCUCUCUCUUCCUUUCGACCUCUAAAUGAUGAAGAUCCCUACAUGUAGUUUUUUUAUUUGUGCGAUUUUUUAAAUUAUUUUUACAAGCUGAAAAUGAAGGCUCUGUCUUCUCCAUCUUAAAAUUUGCGAGAAAUUUUUUAUGAUAUGGUCAAAUGUAUGUUAUGUACUUACACUCCUUAAAAUGUCAUGAUUUCAACCGGUCUUUCUUUUGCUCCACAUGUAUAUAGUUACAAUGAUAUAGGUUUGAAAUGAGCCCUAUAUCGCACCCAGCAUUUCUUUCCAUUUUCUUUAACUGUGGGAUUUAUCAGAGGAGAAAAAAUGCUCAGUGUAUUUCACAUUCAUGAUCCCUUACAUUUCUCCCUUUUUUGAUACGAUACAUUAUGAUUUUUUACAUCCGGCAGCCAUCAUUUUACAGUGAAGCUGUUUGUCAUCACUAAGACUACUAGAUUUAUUUGUCGCCUUCAAAAUGGAAUGAUAUUUUUAUUUUUUCGAAAUCCUGCGUCCUAAUCCUUGCCAUUUACGGUGAAUGUAUUUGAAUAAACUUUUCUGACAGUUUUCACUUAAACCAAUUUGAAGUCAGAGUAAUUUCAGGAGAUACCAACAGUUUUUCAUAGUUUCUCCGCUAUUGGAAUUUUUUCUGUGACAUAUGAACAAUAAAUAAUUUCAUCAUGAGUGGAUAAAAAAAUAACUAACACUAAUUCUACACGCGUAAAAGACUUACCAAUGGAUUGUUCGCGUCCACAGGUGCUACAAGGGAACUUUUUGUGAGAAGUGCAGAAGGGCACCUCAUCAAUUGAGGUCACAGAAAAACAUUUUAUCGAUGGAAGUCCACGGGACCCAACCAGUUCCAAAAAAGGGGUUUGGAGGGACUUCCUCGUUUCCAAAGGGGGCUCUUCGGGCAGCCCCCCAUGUCCCUUGGUUUUGUCCAUGGUUGCAUCGUCAAAUAUAAUAAGGUUUUUGAAAACUUCUCAGAAUUUUGAAAGUUUUGCUAGAUUUCCAAUUGCUUUUACUGAUGCAUUUUUUGCAGUUCCUUCAACGCAAUACGCAAUUGCUGCUUCCAGCGUACUCAAUCCUGACUCCGA
RNAcentral lists this long non-coding RNA (2290 nucleotides) under Bemisia tabaci. RNAcentral describes it as "lncRNA ENSSSA3NGG000357". Lineage: Eukaryota; Metazoa; Arthropoda; Insecta; Hemiptera; Aleyrodidae. The record is from RNAcentral.